RNAcentral lists this ribosomal RNA (483 nucleotides) under uncultured bacterium. RNAcentral's name for it is "partial 16S ribosomal RNA". It matches the Rfam family "Bacterial small subunit ribosomal RNA", at positions 28 to 523 of the family's 1533-position model. The record is from RNAcentral.
GACGAACGCUGGCGGCGUGCUUAACACAUGCAAGUCGAACGGUGAAGCUGGAGCUUGCUCCGGUGGAUUAGUGGCGAACGGGUGAGUAACACGUGAGCAAUCUGCCCUUGACUCAGGGAUAACUGCGGGAAACUGUAGCUAAUACCGGAUAUGAGGCUUGGAGGCAUCUCCAGGUCUGGAAAGAAUUUCGGUCAAGGAUGAGCUCGCGGCCUAUCAGCUAGUUGGUGAGGUAAUGGCUCACCAAGGCGACGACGGGUAGCCGGCCUGAGAGGGUGACCAGCCACACUGGGACUGAGACACGGCCCAGACUCCUACGGGAGGCAGCAGUGGGGAAUAUUGCACAAUGGGCGAAAGCCUGAUGCAGCAGCGCCGCGUGAGGGACGAAGGCCUUCGGGUUGUAAACCUCUUUUAGCAGGGAAGAAGCGAAAGUGACGGUACCUGCAGAAAAAGCACCGGCUAACUACGUGCCAGCCGCCGCCGUAA